Transfer RNA from Podospora anserina, 86 nucleotides. It matches the Rfam family "tRNA". Rfam says of the family: Transfer RNA (tRNA) molecules are approximately 80 nucleotides in length. NCBI's taxonomy places the organism in Eukaryota, Fungi, Ascomycota, Sordariomycetes, Sordariales, Podosporaceae. The record is from Rfam.
GCCCGUAUAGCUCAGUGGUAGAGCGCAUCACUCGUAUCUGUGAUUGCGAUAUGAUGAGGUCCGCGGUUCAAUCCCGCGUGGGGGCA